This is a long non-coding RNA of Panicum hallii, 651 nucleotides long. RefSeq lists it as uncharacterized. NCBI's taxonomy places the organism in Eukaryota, Viridiplantae, Streptophyta, Magnoliopsida, Poales, Poaceae. The record is from RefSeq and is a predicted model, not a curated record. The transcript has 2 exons.
CAUUCAUCGCAUGGUCAACCAGAAUAACAAGCUAAAGUCGUUGGACCUUACCUUCAAGGAGGAUCACAUUGUCCAUCUGGUUUUUGCUUCGUUACCAAAAGAGUUUGACACGUUUGUUGUCAAUUACAACACCCAACCGCAGACUUGGGAUAUUGAAAAGACCAUCGCAGUGUGUUCAGGAGGAGGAAAGAAUAAGAUCCACCACUGGCGGAUCUUUAAAUUAUGUAAAUAAGAAGAAAAAUACCAAUUUCAAGGGUAAUUUUUCUUCCUCCUCUAAAGGCAAAAACUCUCAACAACACAGACCGCAGGAGGGAUAGGCUCUAGUAGAUAAAGAUCAGUGUCUCUACUGCAAAGAGAGGGGUCACUACAAGAAGAACUGUCACAAAUAUUUAAAGAUGAUCAUGAAAAAGAGAGGGAUUCCAUUCGACGAGAACCACUCAAAGAAGCGAAAAGCAAGUUAGAGUGGCAAAUGGAGAUCAGGCAGACGUUGAAGCAGUAGGAGAUGUUCAUUUGGAACUCGACACUGGCUUCAUUAUUGUACUUAGAGAUGUUUUAUUUGUUCCUUCUUUACACAGAAACUUAAUUAGUGUGUCUCGCCUGGACAAAGAUGGUUAUUCUUAUCUAUUUGAAGAUGAGAAAUGCUUGAUCGAA